GUGCCCUGCGUGUGUGCGUGCGUGUGUGUGUGUGUGUGUGUGUGUGUGUGGCCAUGGCCACCAAGGCGCCACC
RNAcentral lists this microRNA precursor (73 nucleotides) under Otolemur garnettii (small-eared galago). RNAcentral describes it as "miRNA (ENSOGAG00000021035.1)". Lineage: Eukaryota; Metazoa; Chordata; Mammalia; Primates; Galagidae. The record is from RNAcentral.